This 414-nucleotide ribosomal RNA is filed under the name uncultured microorganism. Its description in RNAcentral is "bacterial SSU rRNA". It matches the Rfam family "Archaeal small subunit ribosomal RNA", at positions 459 to 872 of the family's 1478-position model. The record is from RNAcentral.
CAGCAGCCGCGGUAAUACCGGCGGCCCGAGUGGCGGUCACUAUUAUUGGGCUUAAAGCGUCCGUAGCCGGGUUGGGAAGUCCUCCGGGAAAUCUGGCCGCUUAAAGGUCAGAAUGCCGGAGGAUACUCCCAGCCUAGGGAGCGGGAGAGGCCGAGGGUAUUCCCGGAGUAGGGGUGAAAUCCUAUAAUCCCGGGAGGACCACCUGUGGCGAAGGCGCUCGGCUGGAACGCGUCCGACGGUGAGGGACGAAGGCCAGGGGAGCAAACCGGAUUAGAUACCCGGGUAGUCCUGGCUGUAAACGAUGCGGACUUUGUGUCGGACAAGCUAUGAGCUUGUCCGGUGCCGGAGGGAAACCGUUAAGUCCGCCGCCUGGGGAGUACGGCCGCAAGGCUGAAACUUAAAGGAAUUGGCGGG